Callorhinus ursinus (northern fur seal) is the source of this 328-nucleotide non-coding RNA. The record is from RefSeq and is a predicted model, not a curated record. Lineage: Eukaryota; Metazoa; Chordata; Mammalia; Carnivora; Otariidae.
UUCCUCCUGCACCAUUUCCAGGACGUCUGGGUCGCCCAUCUUCGCCAGCUCGUUAAUGACACUGACUGAGUGGUGGCAGAUGGACCACUGCGACUGGAGGAAUGGCGUCGGCUCUGUCAAGUGAUUUGAGACUAGAGGCAAUUCCUUACUUGAUGCAUUUUGGAAUUGUGUUUGAAAUAUGAACGAUCUGUCCAUUUCCUCCGUUGCUACAUCCUUCAUCUUUCAACAGAAUCAUCCACCACACAUUUCCAGGAUUUUGUUCUGAAUAAUGAAUACAUGUUCUUUUAAUGUAAUUGAAUACAUAGUUAAGUAUUGAAUUGGAGUCAAA